GCGCCGGUAGCUCAGUUGGUAGAGCGUCAGCCUUCCAAGCUGAAUGUCGAGAGUUCGAGCCUCUUCCGGCGCU
Molecule: transfer RNA, 73 nt
Filed under: Phycisphaera mikurensis
Lineage: Bacteria; Pseudomonadati; Planctomycetota; Phycisphaerae; Phycisphaerales; Phycisphaeraceae
Also listed under: 1 other name
Description: tRNA-Gly
Rfam family: tRNA
About the family: Transfer RNA (tRNA) molecules are approximately 80 nucleotides in length.
Source: RNAcentral